Molecule: transfer-messenger RNA, 351 nt
Filed under: bacterium
Lineage: Bacteria
Also listed under: 1 other name
Description: UBA10085 sp012842765 Standard tmRNA
Rfam family: transfer-messenger RNA
About the family: Bacterial tmRNA, also known as 10Sa RNA or SsrA, is named for its dual tRNA and mRNA-like properties. Its role is to liberate the mRNA from a stalled ribosome. To accomplish this part of the tmRNA is used as a reading frame that ends in a translation stop signal.
Source: RNAcentral
GGGGGCGUUACGGUUUCGACGGAGAGUGCUGUGAGAGGCGCAGCGAGCCGAGAUCCCACCUACUCGUUAAUCGGUGGAAGCACGAUAAGUGCCAACGAUUACGCUUACGCUGCUUAAUUAACUAAGUAGCCGUCCGACCCGAUCUUCUCCCGAAAGCUCGGCUAGGGCGUCAUCUAAGUCGGGAUGCUUGCGUGUCAAUUCUCGGAGGCACGCACUAAGAAUAUCGAGAUAGUCCCCGGGCAGCGUGCCCGUGCGCGGCUCGUGGGGCGAAAACAAGUAUGCGGGCUACGCUCGUAGAAGUGCCUCAAGUGGCCUUUUCGGACCCGGGUUCGACUCCCGGCGCCUCCACCA